RNAcentral lists this ribosomal RNA (82 nucleotides) under Pseudoalteromonas porphyrae. Its description in RNAcentral is "partial 16S ribosomal RNA". It matches the Rfam family "Bacterial small subunit ribosomal RNA", at positions 1 to 80 of the family's 1533-position model. The record is from RNAcentral. Lineage: Bacteria; Pseudomonadati; Pseudomonadota; Gammaproteobacteria; Alteromonadales; Pseudoalteromonadaceae.
UUUAAUUGAAGAGUUUGAUCAUGGCUCAGAUUGAACGCUGGCGGCAGGCCUAACACAUGCAAGUCGAGCGGUAACAGAGAGG